UCUGAAGUCCUACCAAUGUAGGCAAGAAGAUUGAGUUGCUUUGAGGCCAAAUCGAAGCAACUCAGAUCAUGAACCUCAUUUUUCAAUUCCACAUAUCUCUCAAUAUAGUUGUUGCUUUGAGGCCAAAUCGAAGCAACUCAGAUCAUGAACCUCAUUUUUCAAUUCCACAUAUCUCUCAAUAUAGUUGGAAUUGGAUGAAUUGGAGGUGAUAUUCGUGCUCAAUGAUGUUUUUUCUUUAAGAUCAUGUCCCUGUUUUGUAUUUUGGUAAUGGUUCAUCUUAACUAGA
RNAcentral lists this long non-coding RNA (286 nucleotides) under Lathyrus oleraceus (garden pea). RNAcentral's name for it is "Pisum sativum (pea) long non-coding RNA (PSAT_LNC021938)". Lineage: Eukaryota; Viridiplantae; Streptophyta; Magnoliopsida; Fabales; Fabaceae. The record is from RNAcentral.